AAAACACAUAAAUAGUCCAAGACCAGUUUAAGAUGGUGCUGGUGAAGCUCAGCGGCUACUUGCUGAUGGCAAAUAAAGCAAAGGAGCUUUAUACUUUGUUGUCUGGUGUCAAGGUGAAGAAUCCAAGAUUCUCCGUCUGUCCAUCUACCUAUAUCCCUUCAUCCAAGAAUCUUCUUUGUAUUCACAGUACCCAAAACAGGAGCAUGUGGGCCAUGGCAGUCAAGGCUUUAACUGGGCAUGGCACUUGAUGAUGAUGAUUCACAAUAGAACAAAGAAAUCCAACAGAAUCAAUGAAAAAAAAUUAAAACAAACACUGAUAAAUUGUACAAUUAU
Long non-coding RNA from Hypanus sabinus (Atlantic stingray), 333 nucleotides. RefSeq lists it as uncharacterized. Lineage: Eukaryota; Metazoa; Chordata; Chondrichthyes; Myliobatiformes; Dasyatidae. The transcript has 3 exons. The record is from RefSeq and is a predicted model, not a curated record.